UCCUGAGCGCAAAAGUCUAGUCCCCGAUUACUAUGUUGAUAGCAUAGCCGACCUGCUCCCUGCUCUCACAGAUUAAGAAAAGGAAAUGUUCCAGCUACUAAAAGGAUGCUACACAAAGAACUUCUGGUUCUGAUGCCUAUUUUAAAAGUGAAUUAUGUAUUGAAAAUUGAUUUUAUUGGUCAAGAAGCAUGCAACAAAAGACCAUUGAUCAGAAGUUGGAUCGGACUGAAUCGUGCUUGAAUUCCUUGAGUAAUGUCAGGAUAGACCACUCAGCUCAUUUGUCAGUCACUGAUGGUGGGAAUUCUUCAUGGCAACAGUGAAUUUACUAGCAUUUUGUUCUUCAGUGAGAUUUCUGUGUCAUAAAUAUGUGCAGGGUUUUUUUUCUGAAGCCAUUUUGGGGUCAGUGUUGAUGAAGCAACUACAUCAACGUAUUUAGUGCUUCCUGUUGAAAUCCUGUGGGUUGAUGGUAGGGCACAAGAAAAAUCCUUCGCAGAUCUUCCUUGGCAGUGACUGAGAACAGGUGUGCAAACCAUUUUGCCCUGCCGAUCUGCAGUAAACAUGAUUGCACUUUUCAGGUGCUCAGGUAGUUUUCUUCUUGCAGAAUUAGUUGCCAGAUUGUCUGUCAUCUUUAAAAAUUAAGUAUGUAGACAUAAAGAUGUUUUAAAAAAUCUUUUGGGAACCAGGGAGAGAGAUUUCUUUUUUGUUUCAAAUAUAUUUCAAAGAGUUAUCAUGCGUGGGCAGCAUUUUCAUUAUUGAGGGGGCUUGAAAUUUCUCACAUUUUCAUACAGCAAUAAUUGCGUUGUCUAUAAUGGAAGACACUGUGAUUAAACUUACGUUAAUCUCUCCAUCUCUUUUGAAGUGCUAAAAGGUAGAUUUUCUUUUUUUUUUUCUUUUAGGUUUAUCAGCUUCUCAUUUGUAAGUCUAAAGAUUGUUCUCCACUUUUGAUUAUGUAAACUGUUUCUGUUUGAAUCAACUUAAAAAGAAUGGAUCUCUUUUUGGGGGAUUCGUGCUUAUGCAGUUCCAGAGAGGUUCAGGAACGUGUCAAAUCUAUAUUAAAUGCUUAGAUCUUCAGGGCUGUUGCUCAAGCAUGCUUGCCACAAAGUGGAACCUGUCGUCUGUUUUCAUGGCAUCUGCAUUUCUUACAAAGCUGCACUGUAAAAAUACCAAGCCGACACUGUAAAACUGUUACAUAACUUCAGUCCUGUCUUUGAGUCACAUUAAACAUAACUCUUGCUUCUUU
Molecule: non-coding RNA, 1240 nt
Organism: Python bivittatus (Burmese python)
Lineage: Eukaryota; Metazoa; Chordata; Lepidosauria; Squamata; Pythonidae
Source: RefSeq, a predicted model, not a curated record